Long non-coding RNA from Hypomesus transpacificus, 507 nucleotides. RefSeq lists it as uncharacterized. The record is from RefSeq and is a predicted model, not a curated record. NCBI's taxonomy places the organism in Eukaryota, Metazoa, Chordata, Actinopteri, Osmeriformes, Osmeridae. The transcript has 3 exons.
CUGGUAUUGGACUGGUUAUGCUCCCUGCAUAGUCUUGUAUGAUGAAGUGUGGUGCUGAUCCAGGAUACUGGCGGUACCACAACAGACCAUUGGUUCAAAAUACUCCUACUUUUGACAUUGUGUAAUACACUGAAGACACCACUUGAUGGCACCAAAGGCAAGGGGAAAUGACAGAUCAUGAUUUCACUUUCAGUUUGGCAGAGAGACGAGAGUCCAGAGGCUCAGCUCCUUUCCCAGUGGAGUGAAGGAUGAGCAGGAGGAACUGGGGAGCAGAUCCUGGAUACUGCUUAUACCAUAAAAGACUGUAGGCUGAGGAGUAGUUGCAAGACACAGUAACAUGGUGACCUUCUUCUCCAAAGACCUCAUGUUGGUUUGGCUGGAUUGUCUGUCCGUUACUGAAGCCUGUAUAUAUGAUAUUUGAGAACAAUUAGUUGUUUUUAUCUCAUUACUGUUAAUUACCCAAUAAUGAAUCUUUCCAGCAGAUUAAAUAAUAUAAUGUUGUUUUUG